UACGGAGGGAGCUAGCGUUGUUCGGAUUUACUGGGCGUAAAGCGCGUGUAGGCGGAUUUGUAAGUUGGGGGUGAAAUCCCGAGGCUCAACCUCGGAACUGCCUCCAAAACUACAAGUCUGGACUCAAGCAGAGGCAAGUGGAAUUGCGAGUGUAGAGGUGAAAUUCGUAGAUAUUCGCAGGAACACCAGUGGCGAAGGCGACUUGCUGGGCUUGUAGUGACGCUGAGACGCGAAAGCGUGGGGAGCAAACAGG
This 253-nucleotide ribosomal RNA is filed under the name uncultured bacterium. RNAcentral's name for it is "partial 16S ribosomal RNA". It matches the Rfam family "Bacterial small subunit ribosomal RNA", at positions 524 to 776 of the family's 1533-position model. The record is from RNAcentral.